AAAUCAUGCAGUAGGCAUUUUCUAAUUAAUUCCUUAAAACACUCACAUGCUUCAUAUAAUGCCUCAUCUCUAGAUUGUCGAAACGAUGUAAUAUUAUUCCUCAGCUU
This is a non-coding RNA of Gossypium hirsutum (cotton), 107 nucleotides long. The record is from Rfam. Lineage: Eukaryota; Viridiplantae; Streptophyta; Magnoliopsida; Malvales; Malvaceae.